AUUGAACGCUGGCGGCAGGCCUAACACAUGCAAGUCGAGCGGAUGAAGGGAGCUUGCUCCUGGAUUCAGCGGCGGGCGGGUGAGUAAUGCCUAGGAAUCUGCCUGGUAGUGGGGGAUAACGUCCGGAAACGGGCGCUAAUACCGCAUACGUCCUGAGGGAGAAAGUGGGGGAUCUUCGGACCUCACGCUAUCAGAUGAGCCUAGGUCGGAUUAGCUAGUUGGUGGGGUAAAGGCCUACCAAGGCGACGAUCCGUAACUGGUCUGAGAGGAUGAUCAGUCACACUGGAACUGAGACACGGUCCAGACUCCUACGGGAGGCAGCAGUGGGGAAUAUUGGACAAUGGGCGAAAGCCUGAUCCAGCCAUGCCGCGUGUGUGAAGAAGGUCUUCGGAUUGUAAAGCACUUUAAGUUGGGAGGAAGGGCAGUAAGUCAAUACCUUGCUGUUUUGACGUUACCAACAGAAUAAGCACCGGCUAACUUCGUG
RNAcentral lists this ribosomal RNA (484 nucleotides) under uncultured bacterium. RNAcentral describes it as "partial 16S ribosomal RNA". It matches the Rfam family "Bacterial small subunit ribosomal RNA", at positions 30 to 507 of the family's 1533-position model. The record is from RNAcentral.